GCGGGUGUAGUUCAAUGGUAGAACACGUGCUUCCCAAGCAUGAUACGUCAGUUCGAUUCUGAUCACCCGCUCCA
This 74-nucleotide transfer RNA is filed under the name Verrucomicrobia bacterium 12-59-8. RNAcentral describes it as "tRNA-Gly". It matches the Rfam family "tRNA". Rfam says of the family: Transfer RNA (tRNA) molecules are approximately 80 nucleotides in length. Their secondary structure includes four short double-helical elements and three loops (D, anti-codon, and T loops). Lineage: Bacteria; Pseudomonadati; Verrucomicrobiota. The record is from RNAcentral.